RNAcentral lists this long non-coding RNA (626 nucleotides) under Fukomys damarensis (Damara mole-rat). RNAcentral's name for it is "lncRNA (ENSFDAG00000022858.1)". The record is from RNAcentral. Lineage: Eukaryota; Metazoa; Chordata; Mammalia; Rodentia; Bathyergidae.
GCCAGGUGGUUCUCACAAUGCAUCCAAGAGGAACUGAAUGUUACACUGGAUGCCAGCCGUGUGGUUGGCCUCAAGCUGGGGUUCGUUUGAGCCCAUGGCAGCAGCAGUCACACCCAAAAGGUCAGCAGGAGGCAACCAUGGAUGUCCUGCGGCUCAUCUCUCGGCUGGCUGGCUAGAGACUGUUGUGCUUCACAAAAAAUGGUAUGAGCGAGGGCUCCUUGAGCUCCUGAACCAUGCUAGGGCUUUUGAGGGAGGCAGGCAGGGUGAAGGAAGACUGAGAUAUCAGGAACCCGUGGCUCUCCUGGAGGCCUUUUGCCUACUGAGUCCCUGGGGGUCUCAAUGAAUGGCAAUGCCCUGCUCACUUUUCAACGGGGUUAUGUCCCCAGCGAUGUAUUCUCUCUGAUUCUAUAACCAUUCCUUUUCAGAGGGCUGUAUGCAAGCUGUGGAGAGCUUGAGUGCCCGGCCUGCCCACUGUUCAUAUAGAUUCUCCCUGAUGGAGCCUAGCAUCACAGUGACCACACUUCAUGCUAGCCAGCAGCUCAACUUGGCUCUGCAAGGAGAACGAUGCCAGGUGGUUCUGACAAUGUGUGGAAGAGGAACUGAAGGUUUCACUAAAUGACAGCCGU